This 350-nucleotide ribosomal RNA is filed under the name uncultured archaeon. Its description in RNAcentral is "bacterial SSU rRNA". It matches the Rfam family "Archaeal small subunit ribosomal RNA", at positions 108 to 458 of the family's 1478-position model. The record is from RNAcentral.
CCUACCCUAUGGACGGGGAUAACCUCGGGAAACUGAGAAUAAUACCCGAUAGAACAUUAUGCCUGGAAUGGUUUAUGUUUCAAAUAAUUUAUUGCCGUAGGAUGGGACUGCGGCCUAUCAGUUUGUUGGUGAGGUAAUGGCCCGCCAAGACUAUUACAGGUACGGGCUCUGAGAGGAGUAGCCCGGAGAUGGGUACUGAGACACGGACCCAGGCCCUAUGGGGCGCAGCAGGCGAGAAAACUUUGCAAUGUGCGAAAGCACGACAAGGUUAAUCCGAGUGGUUUCUGCUAAAGGAACCUUUUGUCAGUCCUAGAAACACUGAUGAAUAAGGGGUGGGCAAGUUCUGGUGU